UACGGAGGGGGUUAGCGUUGUUCGGAAUUACUGGGCGUAAAGCGCGCGUAGGCGGAUUAGAAAGUUGGGGGUGAAAUCCCGGGGCUCAACCUCGGAACUGCCUCCAAAACUGCUAGUCUAGAGUUCGAGAGAGGUGAGUGGAAUUCCGAGUGUAGAGGUGAAAUUCGUAGAUAUUCGGAGGAACACCAGUGGCGAAGGCGGCUCACUGGCCCGAUACUGACGCUGAGGUGCGAAAGUGUGGGGAGCAAACAGG
RNAcentral lists this ribosomal RNA (253 nucleotides) under uncultured bacterium. Its description in RNAcentral is "partial 16S ribosomal RNA". It matches the Rfam family "Bacterial small subunit ribosomal RNA", at positions 524 to 776 of the family's 1533-position model. The record is from RNAcentral.